UACGAAGGGGGCUAGCGUUGCUCGGAAUCACUGGGCGUAAAGGGUGCGUAGGCGGGUAUUUAAGUCAGGGGGGAAAUCCUGGAGCUCAACUCCAGAACUGCCUUUGAUACUGAAGAUCUUGAGUUCGGGAGAGGUGAGUGGAACUGCGAGUGUAGAGGUGAAAUUCGUAGAUAUUCGCAAGAACACCAGUGGCGAAGGCGGCUCACUGGCCCGAUACUGACGCUGAGGCACGAAAGCGUGGGGAGCAAACAGG
This 253-nucleotide ribosomal RNA is filed under the name uncultured bacterium. Its description in RNAcentral is "partial 16S ribosomal RNA". It matches the Rfam family "Bacterial small subunit ribosomal RNA", at positions 524 to 776 of the family's 1533-position model. The record is from RNAcentral.